Lontra canadensis (Northern American river otter) is the source of this 437-nucleotide long non-coding RNA. RefSeq lists it as uncharacterized. Lineage: Eukaryota; Metazoa; Chordata; Mammalia; Carnivora; Mustelidae. The transcript is spliced from 2 exons. The record is from RefSeq and is a predicted model, not a curated record.
GCACGCACACACACCCUUGGGACACUGGUGAGAGGCUGUCUGGUCAGGUUACUGGAGGGGCCAGGAAGCAGGAGAUGGAGUUAUGACUGCCCUUGGCAGAGGUGAUCUGGGAAGGCUUCAAAGAGGAAGCGCCAUUUCAAUUGGCUUUGAAGAAUGAAACUCAGUUUGUUCAUCUGUAAAGUGAGCACUGAGCAUGCAGACUGAGAUAAGAAAUCCAGAGAGGCCACGUUUUCUCCCCAUGAAAGCAAGGAUCAGCAAACUCUGGCCUACUGAUGGAGCCUGGCACAGCACCUGGGUCUGCACAGCCCACAAGCUAAGACUGGGUUUUAUAUCUUUAAAUGGUUGAAAAGUGAUUGAAUGAAGAGUAAUGUUUUGUCACCUGGAAGGAUGACAUGAAAUGUAAUUGUCAGCGAUCGUAAAUAAAGCUUACCCAUUUA